AACAACAGCAACAACAACAACAACAACAAAAACGACGACAAUGAUGUCGACGACAACAACAACGGCAAUAGCGACAACAACGACAACGAUGAGAACAAUGCCAACAACGACAACUACGACAACAACAACAACAACAACAACAAGAAAAACAACAACAACAACAACAACAACAACGAGAACAACAACAACAACAACAACAACAACGAGAACCACGACUACAACGACAACAACGACUACAACAAAAACAGCGACAACAACAACAACAACAACAACAACAACAAC
RNAcentral lists this long non-coding RNA (282 nucleotides) under Hordeum vulgare. RNAcentral's name for it is "long non-coding RNA (HVUL_LNC021008)". The record is from RNAcentral. Lineage: Eukaryota; Viridiplantae; Streptophyta; Magnoliopsida; Poales; Poaceae.